AGAGUUUGAUCCUGGCUCAGAUUGAACGCUGGCGGUAUGCUUAACACAUGCAAGUCGAACGGAAACGGAACUAGCUUGCUAGUAGACGUCGAGUGGCGGACGGGUGAGUAACGCGUAGGAAUCUGCCUGAUAGUGGGGGAUAGCCCGGAGAAAUUCGGAUUAAUACCGCAUAAUCUAUUCGUAGUAAAGUGGGGGACUUUCGAGCCUCACGCUAUCAGAUGAGCCUGCGUAAGAUUAGCUUGUUGGUAGGGUAAAAGCCUACCAAGGCUACGAUCUUUAGCUGGUCUGAGAGGAUGAUCAGCCACAUCGGGACUGAGACACGGCCCGAACUCCUACGGGAGGCAGCAGUGGGGAAUAUUGGACAAUGGGGGCAACCCUGAUCCAGCAAUACCGCGUGUGUGAAGAAGGCCUGAGGGUUGUAAAGCACUUUCAAUUGUGAAGAAAAGUUAACGGUUAAUAACCGUUGACCUUGACGUUAACUUUAGAAGAAGCACCGGCUAACUCCGUGCCAGCAGCCGCGGUAAUACGGAGGGUGCAAGCGUUAAUCGGAAUUACUGGGCGUAAAGCGCGCGUAGGCGGUUUAGUAAGUCGAAUGUGAAAGCCCAGGGCUUAACCUUGGAAUUGCAUUCGAUACUGCUUGACUGGAGUAUGGUAGAGGGAAGUGGAAUUUCAAGUGUAGCGGUGAAAUGCGUAGAUAUUUGAAGGAACACCAGUGGCGAAGGCGACUUCCUGGGCCAAUACUGACGCUGAGGUGCGAAAGCGUGGGGAGCGAACAGGAUUAGAUACCCUGGUAGUCCACGCCGUAAACGAUGAGAACUAGAUGUUGGGGGGGUUACCCUUCAGUGUCGCAGCUAACGCGUUAAGUUCUCCGCCUGGGGAGUACGUCGGCAACGAUAAAACUCAAAGGAAUUGAC
This 914-nucleotide ribosomal RNA is filed under the name marine metagenome. Its description in RNAcentral is "bacterial SSU rRNA". It matches the Rfam family "Bacterial small subunit ribosomal RNA", at positions 8 to 914 of the family's 1533-position model. The record is from RNAcentral.